GGCAUGCUGGAGGUAUCAGAAGUGCGAAUGCUGACAUAAGUAACGAUAAAGCGGGUGAAAAGCCCGCUCGCCGGAAGACCAAGGGUUCCUGUCCAACGUUAAUCGGGGCAGGGUGAGUCGACCCCUAAGGCGAGGCCGAAAGGCGUAGUCGAUGGGAAACAGGUUAAUAUUCCUGUACUUGGUGUUACUGCGAAGGGGGGACGGAGAAGGCUAUGUUGGCCGGGCGACGGUUGUCCCGGUUUAAGCGUGUAGGCUGGUUUUCCAGGCAAAUCCGGAAAAUCAAGGCUGAGGCGUGAUGACGAGGCACUACGGUGCUGAAGCAACAAAUGCCCUGCUUCCAGGAAAAGCCUCUAAGCAUCAGGUAACAUCAAAUCGUACCCCAAACCGACACAGGUGGUCAGGUAGAGAAUACCAAGGCGCUUGAGAGAACUCGGGUGAAGGAACUAGGCAAAAUGGUGCCGUAACUUCGGGAG
This 473-nucleotide ribosomal RNA is filed under the name Escherichia coli. RNAcentral's name for it is "partial 23S ribosomal RNA". It matches the Rfam family "Bacterial large subunit ribosomal RNA", at positions 1267 to 1742 of the family's 2925-position model. Lineage: Bacteria; Pseudomonadati; Pseudomonadota; Gammaproteobacteria; Enterobacterales; Enterobacteriaceae. The record is from RNAcentral.